Podarcis lilfordi (Lilford's wall lizard) is the source of this 1047-nucleotide non-coding RNA. The record is from the annotation of a GenBank genome assembly. NCBI's taxonomy places the organism in Eukaryota, Metazoa, Chordata, Lepidosauria, Squamata, Lacertidae.
GGAACUAGAGGGCGGAAAUGAGACAAAUGAACUUGAAAAUACCCCCUGCCUCAAAAGCUUUGGCAGACUGGGUCAGUCCCACAGUUAAUUUUAGACAUUCUCUUUCAGAAACUGGAAUGCAGGAAGAGUGGAAGAGAUAGGUGAGUGGAUUAGAGGAACAGCAAAUGAAUGAGAUGGAGGAAAUUCGCAUGUACUUAUUAAAAAUGGGCUCAGUCUGGUUGAAAAUUCAAAGAAACUGAUUGCUGUUGCUUUGCAUUGCAAUGGGAGAAUGAGGUUGAGGAGUGGAGGUGGGCGGGAGGGGGGGGAGAGAAACCUCAGUCUACACUCUCCUGUUGUACUCCAAGCCAAUUAGAUUACACAACCAAAUGAAGUCAAUUGCUGAUGAGAACAAAAUGCUAUUGUUUGAUCUGGGUUCAGAGCAGCCCCCUCUGUCUGUUAGCACAAGUUAAUGAAGGCCGACAGCACUGCAGAUAUGAAGAGCACAGCUUAGUGCAGCUGGGACUGCAAGACCACCCUGGGUCUCUGUGCUGCCAGAGAGACAACCUCUCCCUGAAUCUGGAAUCAAUGGCUUCUGAACAAGAAGAGCAGGAUAUGCCCUUUCAAAACAUUCCUCCUUUCUCAACGCAAAACUGUCUCUCUGUGCUUUUUGGAGACAGCAGUGGUGUGCUAAUUUAUUUUCAAUGUUGCCAGUAUUAAAAGGCAAGCUAAUGAACUGCAUUUAGGAGUUGGGAUCAGUUUGAGGAAAAUGAUUUUUCAGUAUCAAAUGGUGCCUUCCCUUCAAUGUUUUUCUUUUCUUUUCCAUUUUUUAGGCUGCAAGGCAGUGACUGUCCCAAGGACACUCUGUAAACUUCACAGCCAAGUGCAGAUUUGAGCCCUGGUCUCCCAGGUCUUAGUAUGACACUAACCACUGCAUGAAACUGGCUCUCUGAGUUGCAUUUAUCUAUUGGCUGCUUAGUUACAAGAUGUGUGUGUGUAGGAUUAUUGUUUUGCUCUGUUCUUCUUUUUAUUAUACAUGGUAUUUUGUGUUUUUAAUCUUUUGAACCGCCC